RNAcentral lists this ribosomal RNA (246 nucleotides) under uncultured Bacillota bacterium. RNAcentral's name for it is "uncultured Firmicutes bacterium partial 16S ribosomal RNA". It matches the Rfam family "Bacterial small subunit ribosomal RNA", at positions 796 to 1041 of the family's 1533-position model. Lineage: Bacteria; Bacillati; Bacillota. The record is from RNAcentral.
CACACUGUAAACGAUGAAUGCUAGGUAUAGUUGGUAUCGACCCCAACUGUGCCGUCGCAAACGCAAUAAGCAUUCCGCCUGGGGAGUACGGUCGCAAGAUUAAAACUCAAAGGAAUUGACGGGGGCCCGCACAAGCAGCGGAGCAUGUGGUUUAAUUCGAAGCAACGCGAAGAACCUUACCAGGUCUUGACAUCUGAUUAAAGCUGUAGAGAUACAGUGUGUGCAAGCACGAAUCAAGACAGGUGG